GACGAACGCUGGCGGCGUGCUUAACACAUGCAAGUCGAACGGAAAGGCCCUGCUUUUGUGGGGUGCUCGAGUGGCGAACGGGUGAGUAACACGUGAGUAACCUGCCCUUGACUUUGGGAUAACUUCAGGAAACUGGGGCUAAUACCGGAUAGGAGCUCCUGCUGCAUGGUGGGGGUUGGAAAGUUUCGGCGGUUGGGGAUGGACUCGCGGCUUAUCAGCUUGUUGGUGGGGUAGUGGCUUACCAAGGCUUUGACGGGUAGCCGGCCUGAGAGGGUGACCGGCCACAUUGGGACUGAGCUACGGCCCAGACUCCUACGGGAGGCAGCAGUGGGGAAUAUUGCACAAUGGGCGGAAGCCUGAUGCAGCAACGCCGCGUGCGGGAUGACGGCCUUCGGGUUGUAAACCGCUUUCGCCUGUGACGAAGCGUGAGUGACGGUAAUGGGUAAAGAAGCACCGGCUAACUACGU
Molecule: ribosomal RNA, 467 nt
Filed under: uncultured bacterium
Lineage: Bacteria
Description: partial 16S ribosomal RNA
Rfam family: Bacterial small subunit ribosomal RNA
Source: RNAcentral